This is a non-coding RNA of Caenorhabditis elegans, 21 nucleotides long. Lineage: Eukaryota; Metazoa; Nematoda; Chromadorea; Rhabditida; Rhabditidae. The record is from Ensembl.
UGGGAAGUUUGGUCUUACGGC